CUAUGAUCUGCUGUUGUUGUUUUCUGUUUUUUCUUCUUACAAUCCCUUAACUAUAUACUUGGGACUCUUUCCCUUGUGCAUUUUUAGCAUGCUGCAUGCAUUUGACGUAGUCAAACUGAGUGCUUGAGAUAAGUAUUUAAAGUAACAAAAUGAAUUUCCUCUUUUAUCUUUCAGACUUUGUGUAAUGACUGGGGGGAAAAGAAAAAAACCACAAGGAAAAAAGGCGAGCAGGUGAAAUGUUUUAUAUGAAGCCUAGAACUGUAAGGAAAUAUACUCUUAUGUAUUAUUUUCCGAUCACCAUAAUGUCAGUGGGGUGAAAGGCUUCAGAGUGGUUUACUUCUGAAGAAUCACUUGCCUGGAUUUCAGCAGCUGCCUUUGGGAAGAGCCUGGAACAACACAUCUGCUGACACCCCUGUGGUAAACAAAGGGAGGCAUUUUUUUCAAGCAGAUUUUGGUUUGGUGCAGUGCUUGGAACAAAACAAGAGCAAACAAAACCCAACAGCACUAAAUGCUGCACUCUUGCUGCAUGGUGGAAGUAACUUGAGGACUUUACUGAGAGUCUCAGCCUUCAGCCUCGCAAUACACCUUCUCUAACAUGAGGAUCGAUCAGCUUGCUUUCAUAGCCACAUAGGCCAAAGCUUAAGCUCCAAAUCAGAACUGCAGGGACUUAGAAUGCUCUUCCAAAGGUCAGAUCCUGCAGCCAGGCAAACUAAAACUCCACCUUGGUAGGACUGCAUCUACGCAAGGACUGCAGGGUGUGCAGAAACAUAGGAAAGCACAAAGCAGCCUCCUACAGCAAUGAAGGUGUG
RNAcentral lists this long non-coding RNA (809 nucleotides) under Coturnix japonica (Japanese quail). Its description in RNAcentral is "lncRNA (ENSCJPG00005020607.1)". The record is from RNAcentral. Lineage: Eukaryota; Metazoa; Chordata; Aves; Galliformes; Phasianidae.